UAAUCUUAACGAUGGAUGUUUUGGUUUUUACUGCAAUCAUGAAAAAAGCAAAAUACCAUAACCAAUGACAAUUGAAAUACCUUUAAAUCAUUAGAAUUUUGAACGUAAACUACAACACUUGUGUUCUUGCAUUGUGGUACUCUCCUUCAUAGUAA
Molecule: ribosomal RNA, 155 nt
Filed under: Piliocolobus tephrosceles (Ugandan red Colobus)
Lineage: Eukaryota; Metazoa; Chordata; Mammalia; Primates; Cercopithecidae
Description: 5.8S ribosomal RNA (ENSPTEG00000000232.1)
Rfam family: 5.8S ribosomal RNA
About the family: 5.8S ribosomal RNA (5.8S rRNA) is a component of the large subunit of the eukaryotic ribosome.
Source: RNAcentral